This 492-nucleotide ribosomal RNA is filed under the name uncultured bacterium. Its description in RNAcentral is "partial 16S ribosomal RNA". It matches the Rfam family "Bacterial small subunit ribosomal RNA", at positions 29 to 507 of the family's 1533-position model. The record is from RNAcentral.
AGUGAACGCUGGCGGUAGGCCUAACACAUGCAAGUCGAACGGCAGCACAGUAAGAGCUUGCUCUUACGGGUGGCGAGUGGCGGACGGGUGAGGAAUACAUCGGAAUCUACUUUUUCGUGGGGGAUAACGUAGGGAAACUUACGCUAAUACCGCAUACGACCUACGGGUGAAAGCAGGGGAUCUUCGGACCUUGCGCGAUUGAAUGAGCCGAUGUCGGAUUAGCUAGUUGGCGGGGUAAAGGCCCACCAAGGCGACGAUCCGUAGCUGGUAUGAGAGGAUGAUCAGCCACACUGGAACUGAGACACGGUCCAGACUCCUACGGGAGGCAGCAGUGGGGAAUGUUGGACAAUGGGCGCAAGCCUGAUCCAGCCAUACCGCGUGGGUGAAGAAGGCCUUCGGGUUGUAAAGCCCUUUUGUUGGGAAAGAAAAGCAGCAGGUUAAUACCCCGCUGUUCUGACGGUACCCAAAGAAUAAGCACCGGCUAACUUCGUG